Molecule: ribosomal RNA, 253 nt
Filed under: uncultured bacterium
Lineage: Bacteria
Description: partial 16S ribosomal RNA
Rfam family: Bacterial small subunit ribosomal RNA
Source: RNAcentral
UACAGAGGUCCCAAGCGUUGUUCGGAUUUACUGGGCGUAAAGCGUGCGCAGGCGGUUAUGUAAGACAGAUGUGAAAUGCCCGGGCUUAACCUGGGAACUGCAUUUGUGACUGGGUUGCUUGAAUUCGGGAGAGGAUAGCGGAAUUCCCAGUGUAGAGGUGAAAUUCGUAGAUAUUGGGAAGAACACCGGUGGCGAAGGCGGCUAUCUGGACCGACAUUGACGCUGAGGCGCGAAAGCGUGGGGAGCAAACAGG